Molecule: long non-coding RNA, 361 nt
Filed under: Olea europaea (common olive)
Lineage: Eukaryota; Viridiplantae; Streptophyta; Magnoliopsida; Lamiales; Oleaceae
Description: long non-coding RNA (OEUR_LNC000947)
Source: RNAcentral
GGUACCCGGUUCACAACCCGACAUAUCCAUCUGCAAAUUUGUUUCAUUUGAGUGGAGCCCAUCAAGAAAAUUACCAAAUCGUCCACUACUAGAUCCCAAAAAUGAGCUGAUAUUCCCAAAUUGCCCCUGGUAAUUAUCUGUCUUCAGAGGAAAUGUUUCAGUAUUUGUUCCACUAACACUAACCGGUGGUGGUGGUCGUGGUGGUGAGACAGAUGAUGCGGAGGUGGCGGCGGGGCGUUUGGAGUGGUGGGCAGUGGGAGAAGAGGAGGCAGCGGAGGAGGAGCUCCGCUUGGUGUUCUUCCGGGAGCCGCCGCCGACAGGGAUGUUUCUAAGAACACCUCCUUUAGUCCAGUACCUUCUA